CCUACGGGACGCAGCAGUGGGGAAUAUUGCACAAUGGGGGAAACCCUGAUGCAGCAGCGCCGCGUGAGUGAAGAAGUAUCUCGGUAUGUAAAGCUCUAUCAGCAGGGAAGAAAAUGACGGUACCUGACUAAGAAGCCCCGGCUAACUACGUGCCAGCAGCCGCGGUAAUACGUAGGGGGCAAGCGUUAUCCGGAUUUACUGGGUGUAAAGGGAGCGUAGGCGGUGCAGCAAGUCAGAAGUGAAAGCCCGGGGCUCAACUCCGGGACUGCUUUUGAAACUGUUGAACUAGAUUGCAGGAGAGGUAA
RNAcentral lists this ribosomal RNA (305 nucleotides) under uncultured bacterium. RNAcentral's name for it is "bacterial SSU rRNA". It matches the Rfam family "Bacterial small subunit ribosomal RNA", at positions 338 to 660 of the family's 1533-position model. The record is from RNAcentral.